Long non-coding RNA from Folsomia candida, 1667 nucleotides. RefSeq lists it as uncharacterized. Lineage: Eukaryota; Metazoa; Arthropoda; Collembola; Entomobryomorpha; Isotomidae. The transcript is spliced from 5 exons. The record is from RefSeq and is a predicted model, not a curated record.
UGUCAACCAAAUAUUAGAAAUUAUAGUAUUCUGCCCCAACGACCUCAUCCGACGCAUGUGACCCCCACUGGUCAACCACUUGACCGAUUUUAUGGAUCUUCUAACUUUAUUCCUCAUCUACAGAGAUGAAGACCAGGAUAAGACGCAUUUAUUUCAUUUCUAAUAUUUGGUUGAUAACCAAAUUCAUGGGAAAAUUGUAUGCAAUUCCCCAACUUUUGAUUUUUCGAUUUUUUUGGAAAAAAAAUCAUCCUUGCACCACCCCCUUAGGAGAAACCACGGACAACAAAAAUGUUUAUGCACCUUGGUCUAGCCUACAUGCAAGAGUUACUUAGGGGGGAUUCGGCACAGCUGAACCUAAUUGAUCCGUUAGAAGUUCCUACACGACGCCCUUGUAUAGCUAUGGAUCUACUGAAAAGUGAGGUUAAUGGACGUGCAAUGUUGUCAGCAAAGCCAGAAGAACAAGCAAAAGAUAGAACUGCAAAAAUUUUACUUCUUCUACACAGGCGGCAUUGGAUACGCACUACCAAAGCAUCUCUUAGACAAGUUGAACAAGAAUUGGAAGAAGAAAGACGAGUUUGGAGAAACAGAUUAAGGAUGCAAUCAACACAAUCCUGCCACCCGGAGAAUAUUAUUUAGACAGUGGAUACAGAGUAACACAGUCAAGCACGAACGAGUCUGGAUUAACGCAAGCAACAAAGCGCGCUAAAUUGACGGAGGAUUCUACUCACAACACUCAUCCUGUCACCGAUGGAAUGGCUAGACCGCGGAACGCUACACGUUGAUACAUCCACGAAACUCCUGAUGGAGUUAGGUAUAAAUCACGAGGAACAAGAAGUGGAAUGACAAGCUGGGACAGAGUGUGUUCCACAAAAGAUUGUCCAAGACUUGCAAGUAGGGACCAAUGCAAUUCAUGUGCCCAUGGAAGGAAACCGAACAAGGCACACCCACGUGGGAAGCAAGCAGGAUUUGUAUAUGAAGACAAAGACGGAAUUAGAUGGAAAUUCAAUGGGACCGUCUUCCAGGUGAUGUGCUCGACGCAGAAUUGUCCACGACUUGCACAUGCUAAUUCAAAUGGGAAAUGCAAUUCAUGUGCACAUAACAAAAAGCCGUUUCAACAACACCCUAAAUGGAGUGAAAGGUUCAAAGGAUACGAAUAUGAAGACAAUAACGGAGUCCGAUGGAAAAUCAGUGGUUCAAACAAAUUUCACAAAUUGUGUCUCAACAAACCUUCCCCAAGGUUCGCAACAGGAGAUAAUUCCAUUAUAUAAUAUUUAUAGUAGCAGAGCUCACUUAUCAUUUCACAAAGGUCGCAUUACGUUUAACAUCUGAAGAAUCUCAAAACAAAUAGUAAGUCUUGAUACGACAACGACUCAGAAUACAUACGUAAGCAUUUGUCUAAAUGAGUAAGUUUUAAGUUAAUUAAAAAACUACGAUUAUCCUUACUCUAUUUGGUAACAACACUUGUGAAUAAUUGCAAUUUUCAGCCCAGAGUUUAAAGCGUCUUAAUAAAUACUACUGAAUUCAUGCAAAAAUAGGAUUCACAUGAAAAUGUAGUUUAUUUUAGGCUAUUUUAACCACGUGCACUUGAAAACGUUGCAAAAUUAUUUAUAACUAUUAAAUACGUAUAGCUUUUCUAGGAUGAUUGAUUAAAUGUUUGUUUCUUAAAA